GAAAUUAUAUUUUUGGUCCUCACUUUAGAAGGGUUUCUCUGUCUUAUUUUAUUUCGUUUUCUGUUUUACAUAUAUCACCUUUAGUUUAUUCCAUAGCUAAAGUGUGUGCUUUCACUGAACUCCUGUGCAUCCUGACCUCACAUUCCUGAGAUGUGACCUAUGGACAGCAGCUGUCACUCAUUCCCCUACAGAGGAGGGGGAUGCUGACCUCUCGGGCACUGGCCAGCAGAAAUGGAGCCAGCACUCUAAUCUAAACCACCUGAAGAAUAAGAGUAUGGCUGUGAGAACCGCUCUGGAUGUCCAGUUCUCAAGAAGAACAAAAGACUGAACUUUGACCCAGAACCUCCAUGGAUUUCCUGCUGUCAAUCUGAUUUGUUGUGGACAGGAAGGGACGGAGUUUACUGCAACACUAGGUGUCCCUUUGAAGUCAUUCCCUGAGGAGAGGAACUGGUCACGGAGAAUGACCCUCUACGAUUGGCUGAAGGAGGAGACGGAUCAUCGAUCAGCCAAUGCAAGUGUUCCAGGGCGGAGAUUCGACGUCAUGUUUUCCGCGGGAGGAGGAAACCCGAAUUCUCUUUAAAAGUCUGAGCAGAGCAUAAUUUUAUUGUCUUCUUCUGUCUUGUGGUCUUUCAUGUAAAACGCCUGUAACUUCUUGCGUUUUGAAGGCCUUCUAAAAUGAGGACCCAGAUCUGUUUUAAUUCUGUCUUAGAACUUUUGUUAGGGAAUAAACCUUCUGUGACUUUAUCCGGCUGAAUCUUGGUCUUAUAUCUCUCCCGACUAAUAGAACAUGCGUGGAAAAAUCUCAGAGCGAAAGAUAUUUUCCUACAAACUUGGUGACCCGAUACGUGAAGUCGGGGAACGGUACAUGGAUCGAGCCGGUGACGUAUUUUUCGUAUUUUUGAGACUUUCAGUGUAAAGUCUGGGCACGCUUCCUCCCGUCCACUUGGUCGACUUCUCACGCGGCCGCAUACAAAACAGGUAAGCAGAAGCCUGCUGCAAAAUUCUGCAUAUUGAUUAAGUUAUCUCAUAGUUGAAUAACUCAAAUUGAACGAGAUCUCGAGUGAGUGGGCGGUAGAGCUUCCCCCGAAAAUAAAUAAAUAAAUAAAUAGAUAGAUAAAUAAAUGCAUAAAUAAAUAAGAAAAUAAAUAAAUAGAUAGAUAAAUAAAUAAAUAAAUAAAUAAAUAAAAGUUGACCCAAACUUUAAAGGGAUGGUUGACUGUUAGUUUGUGACACCUAGUGUGCAACAACAGUACAGAAAAGGUAUCCUAGGUUUAUCGGUUGUGUUUGAAGAAAUGUAUUUAAAAUGCAUAAGGUUCCGUCUGUUUGUCCUAGAGACGCCCAAGGCGUAAAAACAGUGUAGUUUAGGAACUAAUUUUUGCGCGUUUAGGUAAUUUGGAAGACACUAACGGGGCAGCGGCCUCGACAAAUUAUUUUUUUAGAUGGAGAGUGACCAAAGAAGGAUUCGAAAUUAACAUCAAAGGCAAAUAUGAGGUAUAUGAUGCAUUUUGUCCGGACAAAAUACGACUGGGGUGGAACAGACAAUACGACGACGGACGACGGUGACGAUUUGACUUGACAACAGCGGUGAAAAUGACUUGAAUGUGGAUGAAUGGAAUGGAAUGUAUGAGAUUUUGGAAAGAAUGGGAUGAAAAAGUGUUUGAAAUCUGUGAAUUUUAACUUUAUUUCCACAUUUCCUUGUUUAUUGUGUCUAUGGCCGCAGCCAUCUUGUUUACGUCGAAUGAACCAAUGACUGGAGGUUUUAGUUGCUUUCGAAUGUGUCGAUGUCUAUGAUUGGCUUUGUUAGUACCACGUGGCCGGCGAGCCGGCGUCCCCGGAAAUCGUAAUGGCGAAACACGCUAGACUUUUACAGUUAGAGUUUGGGAUCUAAUCUGCGGUAAAAUCAUGGCGGGGAUCGUCGUUAUCGAGCGUGGUCAUGACCUCGGUUGUAAGACGUCGUUUAAAAAAACAAAUUUCAGUGGGUUUUCAGUUCGCAGAAAAAGUUUUUUAAGUAGCGCUGCGCUUCCGAUGGAAGCCUCUGCCACCAGGCGAGGACAUGACUGCAUGCAUGGCUGCAGCAGCCGGCUCUGGUCGAACGAAAACUACUUUCUCGGGAGGUUCCCCAAAUCUUUUCAAAAACAUGAUCCUGCCUGUUCAGAAAGCUCGGCGCCGUUGUGAGGAGGCUGGUAUCUGCUGGCAGUCAGGCUGCUCUGGACUGGAGACUCUGGAGCGACAGAGCAGCAGGUUGGAUGUGGUUGUUGACACCUGCAUUCAGACGACCAUAACGGCUUCAUCUGCAGACUCUGCAUCACGAGCCUCGGUGAGGCUCCAUGUGGAGGAGGUGCUGUGGAGGACCGGCUACACCUGAGGACAUCAGAGCAGAGCCAGACGUGACUCCAGGUUGACGCUGCUCCUCCUCCUCAUUCCUUCAUCAUCGCUUCAGCGUGAGUUUACGCAGGGACCUAAAACACACAACAUGGACGGAGUCGUGACUGAUUCCUGAUUGUCUCCAGUGAACACACAGACUUGCAGGACAGAGUGGGACGUUGGUGAUGACUUCUGAGUGACAGAGUCCUCCUCGUGUUCAUCGAUCUGUUUGCUUUCCCUCCAUGGAAGCGGCUCUCGUGGCGUCCGCUCGUGCUCCUGCUCGUGCUCUGGCGUCGUCUCAUCUUCUGCGGGCGCUGAAUAAUUGCAGAUGCUGGUGGCGUGGCGUCGAGAACACAUGUCAGCGCGUGAUUUAUAAGCCUUACUGUCAGCAUGCAGAUGAACACUAAUGCAGUGUUUGCAUUCUGCAGGCAUUCACUCCGGGCUUUGACCCAACCAGCCCCAGAGGUGCGUCAUCACUCCUCCUUCCCCUCGCAGCGCCGCGUCAAAACAGCACCAGCAUUUCGUUUAUCCCUCAAUCCCUUCAAAAUCAAGACUGUCUUUCUUUUCCCAGUGUUUCAGAGUCAGGGGAUGACCUGAAAAGCUGCUUUCCAGGCUUACCCUGGGGGAGUCACUGAUCCUCACUCCCCCGGACCCUUUGGCAGGACGGCUGUGGCUUUGUUUGGUUGAAAACCUUUAGGUUCAGCCUCAGAUUCCUAAAGCUCCUGCUGGUUAUGUCCUGAUCCACUCAGAGUUUUAAGGCCCGACCCGCAGGAGCAAACCAGGAAAACAAGACCUCUUCUGUGGAGUUCAAGCAUCUCCACAGGAGAGCAGAGCCAGAGCUUAGGAAAGAGAUUCAGUUACAUUUAAAGCUGUGAAGGUUUACACUCCCAUCAUGCAGGAUUAGCUCUGGAUGCAGGAUUAGUUCUGAUGGUUUUACCUUCUGAAGGUCUGACGCUGCCAGAGAAAUCCUGGAGGAAAGGUCAAAGUGUCUGUAAAAUCUAAAGAUUCAGUCUCUGGGAGGGGAUUGUUUCUGAGAGGGGAAGAAACAUCUCUGCCCGUCGGCGGCGGCGAUGCUCAGGGAAAGGUCGGCCAUCAUCAAAAAGGUGCGCUGAUCAAAAACCAGCUGCUCAUUAUUCAAAUGAAGACCCAAAGCAGCUGCAGAGGUUCAGAACUCGGCGCUUUGGUCCUCUCAUCCCUCAGUCUGGGUCUCGGCUCCGUCUGGGUACCCAGAAGGCAGCUGGGGGGUCCCAAAGAGCAGACCUGCAGCGGAGCGGCAGCCUCUAUUUUCUCAGGGUGACAGGAGGAUCAUCCUGCAGAAGAGAGCAAACAGUCUGACAGAGAUGCUGUUUUGACAGGGAUUUCCUCACCUGUCCGUCUUCAGGAGCGUGUCGCCACAUCUUUGCUGUUUUCUGAGCAGUCGCUGGGAUUUCUGUUAACAAAGUCUCGGUUUGGCUUCACAACAACAUUUUGGAUUCGUUUGUUUGGAACAAAAAUGGCAAAGAAAUGUCAUGCUGAUCAAAAUUGCAAAUCUCUUCACUCCAGAACCGCUGUAGUAUUUUCAUUUCCUUGAAGAGAAUUUUCCAGUUUUCCUUAGACACUGCCGUCUGUGCUGCCACGCCCACAUUGUUGUCAUGACGACAGUAAAAAGCGCAACCAUGUUUUAAUGGGGUCUAUAUCCUGCUUCUCUUAAGCCUUUCAGAGUAAACUUUAUCCAUGUAUACGAUUAUAUGUUACCUUUGGCACACUAAAGAACUAUUUCUUUUUAUUAAACUUGUUAUUUUUCCAGCG
Oryzias latipes (Japanese medaka) is the source of this 4152-nucleotide non-coding RNA. Lineage: Eukaryota; Metazoa; Chordata; Actinopteri; Beloniformes; Adrianichthyidae. The record is from RefSeq and is a predicted model, not a curated record.